UCAGGUGAACUACUGUCACAGAACUGGGCCUGAUGUACCUGCAGAGAUAAAGAAGUGCUGCUCGGUCGGUAGACAGUUUGGAGGAUCCUUCUUCAUCGAUGUGGAGACACUGACUGAAGUCCAGCUGGUGUUUCUGUUCCCUCAACACAACAACACGAUGCGAGAAGUUCAGCUGAACAAUGAGACGUGCAGGAACGAACACAAGCACAGGAUAAGGAUGUGCAAAUGAAAGAUGAACUAAAAGAAAUGUAAAGUUUCAACAUCCCUGAAUACAACGUUUGCUCUUUACUGCGAUUGAGCUGAGUUGGGUAAACUGAUCUCAGUUCCUGUUGGUCUGCUGAACUCACCAGAAGCAGCAGGAGGCCGACUG
Long non-coding RNA from Acanthopagrus latus (yellowfin seabream), 370 nucleotides. RefSeq lists it as uncharacterized. Lineage: Eukaryota; Metazoa; Chordata; Actinopteri; Spariformes; Sparidae. The record is from RefSeq and is a predicted model, not a curated record. The transcript has 3 exons.